GACGUAGGAUGCAAGCGUUGUCCGGAUUUAUUGGGCGUAAAGAGUUCGUAGGUGGUUCGUUAAGCCUGAUGUUAAAGACUGGGGCUCAACCCUGGAAGUGCAUUGGAUACUGGCGGACUUGAGUGUGGUAGAGGCAAUCGGAAUUCCAGGUGUAGCGGUGAAAUGCGUAGAUAUCAGGAGGAACACCGGUGGCGAAGGCGGAUCUCUGGGCCAUUACUGACGCUGAGGAGCGAAAGCGUGGGGAGCGAACAGG
RNAcentral lists this ribosomal RNA (253 nucleotides) under uncultured bacterium. RNAcentral describes it as "partial 16S ribosomal RNA". It matches the Rfam family "Bacterial small subunit ribosomal RNA", at positions 524 to 776 of the family's 1533-position model. The record is from RNAcentral.